AAGAGGCUCGAUCGGCAGUGCGUUUGUUCGUAUUACGAUCUCCGGCUGGACUUUUUCCCGCAAAACCUUCAAAAUUCACGGCUUAUUCCACAAAUUCUUCAUCUUCUUUAGUUUGUCUUGAAAACCAAACGAAUCCAUCAUGUGCGAUCAUUGCGCAAAAGUUACGAGCCAAAAGGGAUACGCAGGACAAGUGACGUGCAAAUGCGACCACGGCGAGAAGAAGAACGGCGAGGCCAAGGAAAAGGAUUUCGGUGGAUGUUGCUCGAAGAAAGAGAAAAAGACAAUCGGCGGAUGUUGCGGAGCUAAAUGCUGCGCGGGACCGCAGGAGGAAGGAGGGUGUUGUACCGGAGGUAUAUCGCCACCACCGAAGGAGAAAUUAUGCUGUGGCCAAGAAAACUAACCGAGUUUUCUUCCUAAGGAAGCCUUUAAGAAAGAGCUGGCUUCAGAGGGGAAGAGCCAACCGGGCGAGAGAGGCAGCCGGUGGGUGUUGCAUGUCCGGCUGUUGCAAGGAUAAAGCGAAGCAGAAGGAACCGGAAGCUCCCCCGAAAUGUUGCGCAGAUCGUAAAUGAUAUCUCCCUGUAGAUAAAUAAAAAAAAUUCCGAGUCUCUAUACCGACCAAUGUAAUAUCACUUCUUCAACAAUAAACGAUGCUUUGAUAUAUGUA
RNA transcript from Bombus impatiens (common eastern bumble bee), 664 nucleotides. RefSeq lists it as uncharacterized. The transcript is spliced from 5 exons. The record is from RefSeq and is a predicted model, not a curated record. NCBI's taxonomy places the organism in Eukaryota, Metazoa, Arthropoda, Insecta, Hymenoptera, Apidae.